CAGUAGCCGCGGGAAUACGGAGGGAGUUAGCGUUGUUCGGAAUUACUGGGCGUAAAGCGCACGUAGGCGGCUUUGUAAGUCAGAGGUGAAAGCCUGGAGCUCAACUCCAGAACUGCCUUUGAGACUGCAUCGCUUGAGUCCAGGGGAGGUAAGUGGAAUUCCGAGUGUAGAGGUGAAAUUCGUAGAUAUUCGGAAGAAUACCAGUGGCGAAGGCGGCUCACUGGACUGGUAUUGACGCUGAGGUGCGAAAGCGUGGGGAGCAAACAGGAUUAGAUACCCCUGUAGUCCCUGUCUCUUAUAC
Molecule: ribosomal RNA, 301 nt
Filed under: uncultured bacterium
Lineage: Bacteria
Description: partial 16S ribosomal RNA
Rfam family: Bacterial small subunit ribosomal RNA
Source: RNAcentral